RNAcentral lists this ribosomal RNA (235 nucleotides) under uncultured bacterium. Its description in RNAcentral is "partial 16S ribosomal RNA". It matches the Rfam family "Bacterial small subunit ribosomal RNA", at positions 103 to 334 of the family's 1533-position model. The record is from RNAcentral.
CGGGUGAGUAACACGUAUGCAAUCCACCUGUAACAGGGGGAUAACCCGGAGAAAUCCGGACUAAUACCCCAUAAUAUGGGCGCUCCGCAUGGAGAGUCCAUUAAAGAGAGCAAUCUUGGUCACAGACGAGCAUGCGCUCCAUUAGCCAGUUGGCGGGGUAACGGCCCACCAAGGCGACGAUGGAUAGGGGUUCUGAGAGGAAGGUCCCCCACAUUGGAACUGAGACACGGACCAA